UCGGAGCUUGCUCCGGGCGAUCAGUGGCGAACGGGUGAGUAACACGUGAGUAACCUGCCCCAGACUCUGGGAUAACAUCGGGAAACCGGUGCUAAUACCGGAUAUGAGACGAGACCGCAUGGUCAUUGUCUGGAAAGAUUUAUCGGUCUGGGAUGGACUCGCGGCCUAUCAGCUAGUUGGUGAGGUAAUGGCCCACCAAGGCGACGACGGGUAGCCGGCCUGAGAGGGCGACCGGCCACACUGGAACUGAGACACGGUCCAGACUCCUACGGGAGGCAGCAGUGGGGAAUAUUGCACAAUGGGCGCAAGCCUGAUGCAGCAACGCCGCGUGGGGGAUGAAGGCCUUCGGGUUGUAAACCCCUUUUAGCAGGGAAGAAGCGAAAGUGACGGUACCUGCAGAAAAAGCGCCGGCUAACUACGUGCCAGCAGCCGCGGUAAUACGUAGGGCGCAAGCGUUGUCCGGAAUUAUUGGGCGUAAAGAGCUCGUAGGCGGUUUGUCGCGUCUGCUGUGAAAGUCCGAGGCUCAACCUCGGAUCUGCAGUGGGUACGGGCAGACUAGAGUGUGGUAGGGGAGACUGGAAUUCCUGGUGUAGCGGUGGAAUGCGCAGAUAUCAGGAGGAACACCAAUGGCGAAGGCAGGUCUCUGGGCCACAACUGACGCUGAGGAGCGAAAGCGUGGGUAGCAAACAGGAUUAGAUACCCUGGUAGUCCACGCCGUAAACGGUGGGCACUAGAUGUGGGGCUCUUUCCAUGAGUUCCGCGUCGCAGCUAACGCAUUAAGUGCCCCGCCUGGGGAGUA
Molecule: ribosomal RNA, 799 nt
Filed under: uncultured bacterium
Lineage: Bacteria
Description: bacterial SSU rRNA
Rfam family: Bacterial small subunit ribosomal RNA
Source: RNAcentral